This 497-nucleotide ribosomal RNA is filed under the name uncultured bacterium. Its description in RNAcentral is "partial 16S ribosomal RNA". It matches the Rfam family "Bacterial small subunit ribosomal RNA", at positions 28 to 507 of the family's 1533-position model. The record is from RNAcentral.
GACGAACGCUGGCGGCGUGCCUAACACAUGCAAGUCGAGCGAACAGACCAGGAUCUUGCUCCUCUGACGUUAGCGUCGGACGGGUGAGUAACACGUGGAUAACCUACCUAUAAGACUGGGAUAACUUCUGGAAACCGGAGCUAAUACCAGAUAAUAUAUAUAACCGCAUGGUUCUAUAGUGAAUGACGGUUUUGCUGUUACUUAUAGAUGUAUCCCCGCCGCCUUAGCUAGUUGGUGAGGUAAUGGUAUACCAAGGCAACGAUGCGUAGCCGACAUGAGAGGGAGAUCGGGCACACUGGAACUGAGACACGGUAGAGACUCCUACGGGAGGCAGCAGUAGGGAAUCUUACGCGAUGGGCGAAUGCGGAACGGAGCAAAGCGGCGGGAGUGAUGAAGGUCUUAGGAUCGUAAAGCUAUGUUAUUAGGGAAGAAGAAAAGUGUAAGUGACUGGGAACGUCUUGACGGUACCGAAAGAAAAAGCCACGGCUAACUACGUG